UCGGGUGCACCAGGCGCGAAAACUUUGCAAUGCGGGAAACCGUGACAAGGGAACUCUGAGUGCCCGUUAAAUCGGGCUGUCCAUCGGUUUAAACAACCGGUGAAGAAAGGGCCGGGCAAGACCGGUGCCAGCCGCCGCGGUAAUACCGGCGGCUCGAGUGGUGGCCACUAUUACUGGGCUUAAAGCGUUCGUAGCUGGUUUGUUAAGUCUCUGGGGAAAUCUUCCGGCUUAACCGGAAGGCGUCUCAGGGAUACUGGCAGACUAGGGACCGGGAGAGGUGAGAGGUACUCCAGGGGUAGGAGUGAAAUCCUGUAAUCCUUGGGGGACCACCUGUGGCGAAGGCGUCUCACCAGAACGGCUCCGACAGUGAGGGACGAAAGCUGGGGGAGCAAACCGGAUUAGAUACCCGGGUAGUCCCAGCUGUAAACGAUGCGCGUUAGGUGUAUCAGUGACCACGAGUCACUGAGGUGCCGAAGAGAAAUCGUGAAACGUGCCGCCUGGGAAGUACGGUCGCAAGGCUGAAACUUAAAGGAAUUGGCGGGGGAGCACAAUCACUAGUGAAUU
Molecule: ribosomal RNA, 564 nt
Filed under: uncultured archaeon
Lineage: Archaea
Description: bacterial SSU rRNA
Rfam family: Archaeal small subunit ribosomal RNA
Source: RNAcentral